RNAcentral lists this ribosomal RNA (402 nucleotides) under Triticum aestivum (bread wheat). RNAcentral describes it as "partial small subunit ribosomal RNA". Lineage: Eukaryota; Viridiplantae; Streptophyta; Magnoliopsida; Poales; Poaceae. The record is from RNAcentral.
AUGAGGCACCGACGAUGUCGUACAUUGCGCCCCGGAUGCCCAUGCCCUGAGAAGCAGCCCAAAACCAAGCUUGGCGUCCACCAUCUUCAAUUCCAACACCGGAGACACCAGGCGCAACCAAGACCGCGCCUUCAAGAAGGAUACGCCGUCGGGACGCCGCCGCUGUCCGCUUUGAGCCGGGAGACGAGUUCGUGUGUGAGACUCAAGGGGGAGGCGGACGCGGGCGAGGAGAUGGCAUCGGAGGACGUGGUGGGGAAGAGCAGGGGCGACACGGCCGUCAACACCAUCGUCAACCUGGCUGAGGAGGCCAAGCUCGCGCGCGAGGGCGUCAAGGGCCCCGGCCACCAGGUCCUCACCAUCUGCAAGUCCCUCUUCACCAGAGGCGUCGCCCGCGGCCUGUGA